UAUGUAUUUUUCAGCAACUGUAUUUUGGUUAUUUUACAAUAUUUUUCAUCAACUCGAUUGAAUAUUUUUAAACCUUUUAUGGUUUUUCACAAGAAAUGCAAUAUUCAUGUGAAAUUCCGUACCGUACUAAUUAUGACAGGCGAUUAGCGAUUUUAUCAAGAAUUUUAAUCUGUAGUUUAGAAGGGACUAUCUUGAGGGAAGGCAAUAUCCUUUCAUAAAAUAUGACACAAUUACCUGCUAGCAAACACCUUUGGCAUGAGAAAGGAAAUACCUUCCUCUAAGCCUUACCUGAAUGCAAGAGAUUAUUUUAAAAGCAUUGCGUUAGAGCUAUAAAAACACUGGUUUACGGAAAGCAUUUUAACACUUCAAUACUGGAAAUAGAGGCUGACACAUAUCUUUUAAAACAGUGUUAUUUUCAAAGUAAUCGGUAAGAAAUUAGUUCAACAUGGAUUCACAAGAGCCACGUAAUAACAAUGAGAAUUUCUACUACAUUGCCAAAGAUAGAUCAUUCAAUUCAAGCGGUUAUCUGUCGGAGGACAAUACCAGCAUUAUGGUAUCGUGGGACGAAGAUAGUUUCUAUAUUAAUGACCAAAACGAGGACAAUGUACCGAUACUUGAUGAGUCAUCGGUCUCAGCGAAUUCGGUUUGAUCCAGCGAUGCCACAGUUAAAAGGGAAUUCAAAUUUAUAAAAUUCUCCUAAUUUAAGCUGUACGUGAAAUGAGGAUCAAUCCGAAUAUAGUUCCUUAAGAGAUUUGUAAUUAAUAAAUAGGGUAUACGUGUGUAUCGAUAUCUUCUGAAAAUGAGAUGUAAAAUAUGAAAAUGAAAAAAAAAAAAACAAAAAUUAUAAUUUUAAAUAAAUAAGAGCAACUUUUAUAAAAAAA
This is a long non-coding RNA of Musca domestica (house fly), 881 nucleotides long. RefSeq lists it as uncharacterized. The transcript is spliced from 2 exons. Lineage: Eukaryota; Metazoa; Arthropoda; Insecta; Diptera; Muscidae. The record is from RefSeq and is a predicted model, not a curated record.